This 298-nucleotide ribosomal RNA is filed under the name uncultured Actinomycetales bacterium. RNAcentral describes it as "partial 16S ribosomal RNA". It matches the Rfam family "Bacterial small subunit ribosomal RNA", at positions 504 to 800 of the family's 1533-position model. The record is from RNAcentral. Lineage: Bacteria; Bacillati; Actinomycetota; Actinomycetes; Actinomycetales.
UGUGCCAGCAGCCGCGGUAAUACGUAGGGUGCGAGCGUUGUCCGGAAUUAUUGGGCGUAAAGAGCUUGUAGCGACGGCUUGUCGCGUCUGCUGUGAAAGCCCGGGGCUUAACUCCGGGUCUGCAGUGGGUACGGGCAGGCUAGAGUGUGGUAGGGGAGACUGGAAUUCCUGGUGUAGCGGUGGAAUGCGCAGAUAUCAGGAGGAACACCGAUGGCGAAGGCAGGUCUCUGGGCCAUUACUGACGCUGAGAAGCGAAAGCGUGGGGAGCGAACAGGAUUAGAUACCUGGUAGUCAAGGC